This 387-nucleotide transfer RNA is filed under the name Cordylochernes scorpioides. Its description in RNAcentral is "tRNA-Cys". Lineage: Eukaryota; Metazoa; Arthropoda; Arachnida; Pseudoscorpiones; Chernetidae. The record is from RNAcentral.
UGUCAGAAGUGGGAUGCGAACCCACGCCUGCAAGAGUAGACUAACACUGCCUUUGCCGGUCCUAAACCCGGAUGAAAAAAGUGGAGGGGGAGCAGUAACAAGCUCACUAAGAAACCUGGGCUCAGCUGAUAGUACCCUGUAAGGGCUCCUAAUCCAGGGAUACAGGAUGAACAGCGUUUGUACUCCAUGUUAGGAGUGGCUGCACAUGACGUCUGUUCCUCAUGUCAGAGGCGGCCAUUUCUUUUGGAGCUAAGUCGGCCUGCCACUGAGUAGUGCUCCCAGUCUUAAUGACAAAGGCAGACACAUUCUAUUUCACCCAGUGUGGAGAUAAGAAAGAAGAAGAGUUAGACUGCGACCUUGCGCCUUAGACCGCUCGGCCAUACUGAC